AUCAGCAUCUCAGAAAUGUUCAGAUCAGGACAAAUGGGCAUCUCUGAGUGGAGGAGGCAUGGAGACAAAUGCAGAUGCUGGGGACAAGGAGAAGGGAAGGAGUAGAAGGUACCGGCUAAUUUCAUUAUUGCGUCUGCUGGGGAACCUACCGACACCUGAGGAAGAAGGAAGACCUUGGACCAAGGGUAUCAUAUAAAGGAACCAGAGCUUCUAGGAGAAAGGACUGAUUCCAGGUCUGGGACAGAGAAUGUACAAGAUGAUCCUAGAACAUCUUGUCACACCAAAAAAGCAAGAAGCUAUUGAAGACCUCUGAGGCUGUCAGAAUGACCCCCAUGCCCCGGAACAGUGUCCCACUGAGCAGGGAUAAGACAGCUGGAACACCGAUGGGGAUUAUAACUGCAGAGAUUGAACCACAUCAAAUAUGCUUAAAUCCAUGAAUUCAUAAUGAUGCCAGAAGUUCACAUUUACAGGAUACU
Manis javanica (Malayan pangolin) is the source of this 476-nucleotide long non-coding RNA. RefSeq lists it as uncharacterized. The record is from RefSeq and is a predicted model, not a curated record. Lineage: Eukaryota; Metazoa; Chordata; Mammalia; Pholidota; Manidae.